CUCCCCAUUCCACAGGACAGAGAAUUGAGGCUGAGAGGGGUAAAGAAGUUCCUGUGAAUUAGUAACAGAGAUUCAAACCCAGAUCUGACUGGCCCCGGAAGCCUCACUUUCAACAACUGUCCACUUUGCCCUGAGCUUCGAGGUUGACCUGUCGCUCUUCAGGGCCUUUGGUGCCCACAUUACCCCAGGGAAUCCUGUGUGCAUGGUCAGAUGAGGGGGCACAGAGGGGACAGUGGGUCCAAAGGCAGGCUCCGGGGCCAGAUGGUUCAGGUUUGGACCCAUUUCCCAUGCAUGACUGUGGAUAAGGUGCUUAACCUUCUGUCUUCCUGUCCAGGCACAGGGGUUGAGAUCCUGACCAGGCUGCAGCGGUGAUGAGAGACGAGUCCAUGCAGGUGAGGCACACAGCUGGAGUUUGUCACCACGGAAGAGCUCCAGCUGCCCACUCUGCACCGCCACCCGGAUGUCCCAUCCACAACUCAAGUCUGCCAUUGCCAAAGCUGAGCUCGCCGCCUCCUCCCCAAACCUGCUCUCCUCCCAAGAAGAUCUUAUUAUGUAAAUAACACUUUUUGUGCCUUUUGCUUAAGAGAUGUUGCUGAGAAAGGCAUUUUGGAAUGGACUUGAGAUGUCCUGACCUCUUCCAAAAUAACACAGAGGAAAAGGUCAGAAAUGCAAAGGAGACCCUUCCGAAUUAAGAGGUCGGAACAAGCAUCUGGUGCAGCCCCUUAGGAGGACGCUACACCACGAGCAUGAUGGGAUUUUUUUUUUUUUGGACAGGCAGAGUGGACAGUGAGACAGAGACAGAGAGAAAGGUCUUCCUUUGCUGUUGCUUCACCCUCCAAUGGCCGCCGCAGCCAGCGCGCUGCGGCCGGCGCACCGCGCUGAUCCGAUGGCAGGAGCCAGGUGCUUCUCCUGGUCUCCCAUGGGGUGCAGGGCCCAAGCACCUGGGCCAUCCUCCACUGCCUUCCCGGGCCACAGCAGAGAGCUGGCCUGGAAGAGGGGCAACCGGGACAGAAUCCGGUGCCCCAACCGGGACUAGAACCUGGUGUGCCGGCGCCGCAAAGCGGAGGAUUAGCCUAGUGAGCCAUGGCGCCGACUGCGAUGGGAUUUUUAAAGACAUAAAUCUACAAGGGAAAACGAAACAUGAAAAUAACCACUAUGCUGAUGAAUGAGAAGGAACCAACAGACCUGAAUUCCAGCCUACCACUGGGAAAAUCCAGGAACCCACUGGAUACGUUCAAGAGAAGGCUCAGGAAAUCUCGGGAACCCAUGGCACCAGAUGCUCCUGAGACUGAGAGUAAAGUCGUGCGGAGUAUCGGAUUAAUUGAAAUCUGUUUGGAAGAGGUUGGACGCCUGGGUCCCGUCUCCAGCUCCACACUGCUGGGUGACUGCUCUGCUCCCACUCUGGAAGAGGACUGACCAUUUGCUUUCUAGGGAGGGUAAGACAUAGGGACUCUGGAUUGUGUGACAUCAGGCCAGACUGAGCCCAAGGGCACUGCACUGGAAACAGGAGGAUUCGGAGACGGUGGAUGUGUUGGACAUUGAAACACACCCUGUUCCCCUUCUUCUGUCGCACCCCCAGAAUGCUGGCUCCUGGGCCUUUGCCCUGCACACAGAGAAUUGGGAGAAUCUCUGCUAAAUCUAGAAGCCCAGAUGAAAAGACGUGGAGAAGUUGACAUAGGAGCUCCCCCAACAGCUGCUGCAGCCUAGCACCUCACAAUGAAGCUCAAGGAAGUUCCUCCCAUUCGGACGGCUGCAGACGCACAGACAGGCAGGGAAAGCCUCUGCUAGGAAAGUCAGAGGAUAAAGCAAACAAGUAAGGGAAACUUAGAGGGAAAGAAAUUAUGCAAAGAGAAGAAAAUUUCCAAAAAGUAUCACUAAUAGCCUCUGAGAGGUAAGACAACAUACUGCAUGCAUGAAACAAGAACAGAGUGCUGUAAAACAAGAACACUUACAGAACAAAAAGUAUUACUGGAAAAUUAAAAAUGUGAACAUAAAAAGAACAAUUUUAUAGGAAUACUGAAAAAUCAAAUUGAGGAAAAUAUUCCCAAAAUAAUUCUGAAAAAAAGGCAAUAAUUAGAAAAUCAUCCCAAGAAAUUCAACAUGCAAAUAAGAACAGUACCAAAAAAAAAAAGAAUAGUGAAAAUGGAGAGGAGAGAAGAUUCAUCAACAAAAAGACACAAGAGGGGCCAGUGCUGUGGCAUAGCCAGUAAAGCCACCGCCUAUAGUGCCGACAUCCCACAUGGGUGCCCGUUCGAGUCCUGGCUGUUCCACUUCCAAUCCAGCUCUCUGCUAUGGCUUUGGAAAGCAGUGAAAGAUGGCCCAAGUUCUUGGGUCCCUGCACCCACGUGAAAGACUCGGAAGAAGCUCCUGGCUCCUGGCUUCAGAUCGGCUCAGCUCUGGCUGUUGUGGGCAUUUGGGGAGUGAACCAGAGGAUGGAAGACCUCUCUUUCUGUCUCUCCCUCUCACUGUCUAUAACUCUGUCUCUCAAAUAAAUAAAUAAAAUCUUUUAAAAAAAGGAAUAGAAUAAUUUAGACAAGCAAAUUCUCAAAAUUUUACCUUCUACAUUCUUUUCCCUCAAAGCCAUUGAGAGAUAGGCUCUAUGAAAUGAGAGAGCAAACUAAAAAGACAAAAAUAACCCACAUUCCAUAGUGUUAGCUUCUUAGGGCUGCCGUGACAACCUGGAGAAGCAUCCCAUUAUCCAUGGGCUAAACCUCCCAACAUCCUGUGGGAGCCUAACAGUGCUGAACCCUGUACACACCAUGUUCUGUGCUUGCCACAGAUAGGAGCAACCCCCACAUGGGAUGUGUCUUCUUUCUCUGUUGAGAUCAUUCAUCUUUUCAGUUAUAAAGGAAGCACUUUAGAGCUUGUCCUUGGCAUACCUGAAACACAAGAACUACGACUCUUGCACUUUGAGGCCACUAUUAAGUAAAAUAAGACUCCGCUGUGAUGCUGCGCUGGUAGAUUUGAUGACUGAGUGACUGAGGGACUGGGAGUGUGUAGGGUGCACAGACCCUGGGCAGGGGGAUAACACAUCUGGUGUGGGACAGCGCAGGUCUUUGCAGAAUUUCAUCUCACUACCCAGAACCCUGUGCAAUGACUUGUUUCUUUCUGGAAGGUUGCAUUUGUAUCUUUGCACUGCAGUAGACCAUGGGUAACUGAAUGAUGUAAAAUGAGGACAGAGAUAGGGGAGGGCCACAGUAGCAAAAACUGGGUAGUUUACAAGAGAAAUGUGUUGUCUCAUAGUUCUGGAGGCCAGAGGCCCAACAGCACAGUACCUGCAGGCCCAUGCUCCCUCCAGGGAGGGUCCUUGCUUCUUCAAGUUUCUGCUGUAUAUAGGUGUCUGGCUUGUGGCAGCCGAAGUUGUCUGCCUAUGUUGUCAUGAGGCUGUCUUCCCCCUGCAUAGCUAUCUCUGUGUCUCUUGCUUUUCUUCCAGUAAGUCCCUCAGGCAUGUUGGAUGAAAAAAGAGCCCAUCCUACAGUUGUGUGACCUCACCUUAACUAAUUAUAACCAUCCUCUUUCCAAAUGACGUCAUAUUCUGAGGUUCUGGAAAAGACCUGAAGUCUUGCGAGACGAGAUUUAAUCCAGGAGCAGGUGCAGAAACCAGAGGUGAGAGGAACUCUCAGAACAAGGAUGAAGGAUUAGCCCAGCUGGCAGCACGCACAGGGGUAACCAGGUCAGACUGUGCUGGUGAGCUGCUCUUCAGGAAGCAGACAUAAUGACUGUUUAUCAAGCUAAAAGUGCAACAGAAGCGCAGGGAGCGGCUAGGGACCGGGACGCCAAAGUGGAGGGAGGAAGCAGUUAAGUCCUUAACAUCCAUGGCGGCAAAUUCAUGGGUAACACCCACACUGGAAAAGCAGGAAGCAGCUGCGAGCAUAUAUGGAGACAGGCGGUAAAUAUUAAAAGAUGGAAAACGUUGUUCCCCCAGAAGGGGAAAGGGAGGGGAGGAAGACUAGUGAAUGUUGUUUGUCUUCACAGACCUGGUAGAACCAGUUGAACUAUGUGUAUUUAUAACCUCAACUAGGAAAAAAGUCAAAAGAAGAGCAAAGGCACAGUUUGGGCCAAAGCACCAACAGCUCUGUGCACCGUGCACCACGCCAUAUGCAUGUUUUAUAGCUAGAGUUGGCCUACGGCAAUGGCUCUCUCUCACACAGUACACCUGCCUGCCUCUGGGGACAUCUGCCUAUGUCUGAAGGCAUUUUUCAUACUCACACCUGGAGUAGGAGUGCUUCCAACCUUUGGGAGGUAGAAGCCAGAGAUGCUGUUGAACACCCUACGAUGCCCAGGACAGCCCGGCAGCACAGAACUAUCUGAUCCAAAAUACCUACAGUGCCGAACUUGAGAAAUCCUUGUGGAACAGGUGUGUGGACUGCAGACUGCAGGUAAACUAACCUUUUCUUUUUUUUAAGAUUUAUUUAUCUGAAAGGCAGAAUUACACAGGGGCAAAGGCAAAGAGAGAGAGAGGUUUUCCAUCUGCAGGUUUACUCCUAAAUGGCCACAAUGGCCAGAGCUGCACCGAUCCAAAGCCAGGAGCCAGGAGCUUCUUCCAGGUCUCCCACAUGGGUACAGAGGUCCAAGGACUUGGGCCACCAUCUACUGCUUUCCCAGGCUACAGCAAAGAGCUGGAUGGGCAGUAGAGCAGCAGGGACUCGAACCGGAACCCAUCUGGGAUGCUGGCACUGCAGACAGCAGCUUUACCUGCUACGCCACAGCGCAAGUCCACUGCAGGAUUUUGUGUAAGGGGCCUGGGCUUCUGCAGAGUCCAGGAUCGGGGUUGGGGGGAGGGUAAGGGUGGUCAUUGAACCGCUCCCCUGUGUACACUGAGGGAUGGGUGGCAGCAACACAGGAGUGAUAAAAUAGGCAGUAAGAGGCCAGUGCCGUGGCUCACUAGGCUAAUCCUCUGCCUGUGGCGCCGGCACCCCGGAUUCUAGUCCCGGUUGGGCACCGGAUUCUGACCCAGUUGCUCCUCUUCCAGGCCAGCUCUCUGCUGUGGCCCGGGAGUACAGUGGAGGAUGGCCCAAGUGCUUGGGCCCUGCACCCGCAUGGGAGACCAGGAGAAGCACCUGGCUCCUGGCUUUGGAUCGACACAGCACGCCGGCCGCAGCAGCCACUUGGGGGGUGAACCAACAGAAAAAGGAAGACCUUUCUCUCUGUCUCUCUCUCUCUCUCUCAUUGUCUAACUCUGCCUGCCCAAGAAAAAUAAAUAAAUAAAUAAAUAAAUAGGCAGUGAGAAAGACACAGAAAUAGCAACAGCAAACCCAAAGUAGAUACCGAGAGGUAAGAUGUUGGUGGAUUGAGCAAGGUCUAGAGGAAAAAACUCCAGCAGGGGCCGGCAUGGUGGUGCAGCAGGUUAAGCCACCACCUAAGACACCUGCACCCUAUACUGGAGUGGUGACUGAGCCCGCCUGCUCUGCUUCCGAAUCCAGCUCCCUACUAAUGCAUCUGGGAAGGCAGCGGAAGACGACCAAGUGCUUGGGUUCCUGCCACCCACAUGGGAGACGUGGAUGGAGCUUCUGGAUCCUGGAUCCUGGCUUCAGUUUGGUCUAGAUCUGGUUGUUGCUGGCAUGUGGGGAGUAAACCAGUGUGGACGGGAUAUCUCUCUCGCUCUCUCUCUUUUCUCUCUCUGUCAUUCUGCCUUUCAAAUAAACAAAGAUAUCUUUCAAAAAUUUUUCAAACAAAGGCGGCAUGGGUCCUCUGUUAUCAGGUAGACCGUGGUAUGUGUGAGAAAAUGCGGGGCCCGAGGAUGAGCGCAGAUACAUUGGGAAAGACACACAGACGAACUGUCGCUCACCCUCUUCGCGGAGGAACGACACCAAACCCUGCCUAGGCUUCAUAUCCGAGUCACGGCACCAUUAUGUCGCUCCCCGUCUUCGUGGAGGAACGACACAGGACCCUGCGCUGUUCUUUUGUCUGCUCGGCCCUCCCCGGGUUUGCUGCUGGUUCUUCCCAGGUUGGCUACCGUCCCUUCCACCUCCGUGGAAGGGCGGUUCCCCCUGCCACUUUCCCCACUUCCGCGGGGGAGCGGCACACCGCUGGCCGGCUCUCUUGGGGGCUGCACAGGUGUUCCUUCAGAUAGAUGUUCCUGGUGCAUGUUGUCUCUCUCCUCCUUUAUAAUCCUCUUCCGCCAAUCCCAACUCUGCUACCCACACGCCGAGUACGCUGCUCUCCUCCAAUCAGGAGCAGGUCCUACAGUUUAUUGGUUGAACUGGAGGCAGCUGUGUAGAAGCUGUUACUCCCUUCUCAGCGCCAUAUUGUGGGAGAGCAGAUGCAUAGAAUAAGUCUUAAUUCCAGUAACAGUCUAGUCCGAAUUGCUCCCCACAACGAACCAGGCGCGAUGCCGGGAGUAUUCCGAGGGUGGAAAAUGUGCAUUAUGAAAAGCUAGGGCCACAUUUCAAAAUCAUUUUGCAUCAAAGUAAAGGUCUCCUUUAUUUCCCUCUUUUCCACGAACUCUUCAAAGCAGCCUCACAGUACGAGGGGGAAGCUGACUACUACAAAGCCCUGGUGACUUCAGCCACGGUCACAGAGCCCCUGUUCCAGCCUGGCCCUGUCUGCCCGGGUGGUCCUGGAUGCCCAAUUAAUGCCAACUGUGUCCGGUGUUUUAUCCACAUCCAAUCAGAAACGCUUUUCCCCGUGGGGAGAGGGGCUCCCAGAGUUGCCGUGGGUUCCCGGGGGUCCAGCCAGGACAGGGCAGGGCGGGAGGAGGCUCCACACAACAGCUCUUGGCACAACACUUAUUUACAUGCCUGGGGACACUUGCGAUUUUUGCCCCUCUGUCUUCUCACCAGGAACUCUGCCAGUGUCACCCUGCCACUCCUGAACCUCGAUGCUGUGUGUUUUAUCGGGAGGAUCCGGGAGCCCCCAGAGGGGCCGGCUGCAGGAGUGAUAGAUCGGAAGCUCUUCAUUCUCUUUGUCCCCUGGUUGUGCCGCGAUUCUGUCUGGUGCUGCCCUUCCUUCUCUCUGCAGGACCCUACACACCCCAUCCCCCAGAGCUGGCCAGAGCACAGCAUUGUGUCUCAGCCCCAUUCACCCUGGAAACUGUUGAGUCUGCCCUGACACGGACCCCCAUGACGGAGCUGUGCCGCUGUUCGAAGCAGCCAGCCCCAGGGCCUUCCGGAAAUUGCUGACAUUCGUGCAACCUCUGCCUGACCUGGCGAGCCCCGCGGGACUUAGCACCCCAAAACUAAAGGUCUCUGACGUGGCUACCAGGCUGCACCGUCAAGGAAUUUAAGGACUGGGGGAGCAAAGUUCUGAUCGAGACGGCAGAUCCAAGACUCACUAUGGAAACAUGGAGUCAGGUCUCGGCUCCGGUCAGUGGAUCUCAGCCAGAGAUGAGGAAAGGGCCAUGCAGGAAGAGCAGGAGACUUCCUGAGGCCACAGCGCAAGUCCGUGGAGGAGCUGGGGUUAAUGCGGCCCGAUCUGUGCUCAUUCUGAGCCUCCCUGGAAUCUGUAAGCGGAACUGGAGACCCAGACGGGACCAAAUGACACUGGCUGGACAGACUGAUCCAAGAGGCCGCGAGAGUUUGCUACAAAGAGCACCGAUCCUGGAGAGGUCUGGGGGAGACCAGAGAGGCUCCAGGGUUUGCGCGUUAUGCGGGUUUUGCAUGAAGUGGACAUGAGUUCCAUCACCAAAUCCCCCCACAGCACAUGUAAAUGGUGCCCCUUGGGUCUUUAACUAGGUGACAGAACCCACCAGUUCACAGUCAAAAAAGAGAGCUUAUGUAGACCUCACAACACUUCGAGAGAUUCAAGAGGGGGAUCCCGAAGACUAUCGCUCACGGAAUGCCAACCAUGUGCCAAGCACUCGCUCUGCUAGACUCCCAUAGAGACUCCUGCAUGGCCUGCUUCUGGGAUCCUACACAGUACCUUAGCUCCAGUCUCAUGGACCAGAAAACAGAGCUUCACAGAACUUAAGCACAGCCAGGAGCAAAGCCAGCGACAUGGAGCCCUCGGACUUACCCAAACCCCCUGCCCUGGUGCCUGGUGGGAUCAGUCAUUACUAAGGGGUACUGGGCUGUCGUGAGGACACAGGGGCAUUGGAGGGACCCUCAGAGAAGACCCCCGAGGGAUUCCACAGCAUUCCUAUGCAGCUCUCAGCACUUGUCAGACACACACGCCCAGGGAGUCCCAGCAGGGAGGCGGACAUUGGCUUCCAACAAGCCCACACACAGAGGCGACUCUGGUCUCCAUUCCAUGGCCUCAGAAGAAAGGCCUGCUCUCUCUCUCUUUUUUUUCUGCAUUGACCCAACCCAAGGUCAAGAAAUGCUUCCAUAUAGACACUCUCAGGCUGCAGCCAAUUUCCUCCUCGCUGCUCCAGAGGGGAGACGGAGAACAGCUGGCGGCCACCGUUCUCUGCAGAUUUGUCAUGGACCUGAAGACUCCUUAUAUAAUCAGCCUUCCCCUUGGUGAAAUCAUCCCACUCCCUCCCAACUUUUCUCGGAGCUGAUUUAUUCUCCAAGUCUCCUAUGCAAUGUGUUGACCACUUUGGAAGUUCUCUGUGUUCCUGUCAAGGUGUAGAGCCCACACUGGACAUGAUGGAGAGCCCAUCGCUCGGGAACAAAUGUCUUCUCAGAAAUGUGGUCAGACGGUCAAUUCCUCGUCAAGCCAGCAGGUGACGGGGAUGAGAGCUGGGGUUCCGAUUCAAGCUCCUUCUUGUACACGCCAUGCGAGCUCAAACAAAUCAUCUGGGCUUGCAAGUCUUCCUGUAUCUCCGGGGCAGGGGGAAUAAUGACCUUCCUUCAAGGUUCCACGAGGAGACUUCACAAAGUGAUGCAACAUGUGGAUUAUGAAAAAUUACAUGGGUUUCCUAUUUUUGCACCACAAUAAACCUCUUUUCAUUCCAUUUUCUGCAAUCUUUUGGAAAUGCCUUCACACAUAAAGUGCUUGACACCCCAUGUCCCGGUAGGAACACUCUGCCCAGCAGCUGUCCUGCCUUUACUGUUGCCCCUCCCUUCCCCACCACGAAGUGGAGCUGCUUCAUUGUUCAUAAUUCUUCUGACUCCAACGAGCAAAUCAAACGCUGGAAGCUCCUCUCUGGGCCUGUCUUCCGUGCUGAAGAAGCAAGCCCUGGAUGUGUCUACACCAGACAGCUCCCAUGUCCCAAGGAGGUCUGCCGAGGGGCUCCUGCUUUGGGUGGAGAGCGGCUUGGUGGCUUCUAAAACUCCCCAGCAUCCCCAAGAUUCGGUUUCAAACCCAGUUGCACCUGGACUCUUCCCUCUCCUCCAUUGUCCUCCAAGAAAUUCAACCGGCUUUCGGUGGGGGAAAAGGAGGGCGGACGUUACUCUGUCUUCCUUGCAGCAGUUCCUCAUCAGACAUGAAUGCCCCCCAAAUUCCCCCUCUCCUGUGCUUCUCCUUUAGUCUUCCUUUACCAGAGUCUCCCCAAAUUGCAACGCAGUUUUGCCAGCAAACUUGUCUGCUCCAUCCAGGUCAGCUAUACCGGGUAACAAGAUCCACCCUCCUCCACGGGCAAUUUAGAGACCAUAUACUCUUCCUAUAGCCUGGCCUCUGGCUGGGUGGAUCUGACUCCACCUGCAAAGGCACUUAUCAGUCAAUUCCUUUCUUCCACACAGAAUGUUUUUCUGAGAAAUUCCUAAGUAAAACAAUUUUCCCCAUCUUCUACACAAUUCAAUGAUUUCUGUCUCCAGUUCCAAGAGCUUGUAUUCCUUCCCUAUAAGAAACUGUGUUAAGAAAUAGUUAUCUCUAUAUAAUAUUUUAGGAAUCCCCUUGCUUUUUUUUUCUUAAUGAUUUAUUUCAACAGAGUGAGAGAGAGGGAGUGAGACAAAGAAGAAAGAGAUUUCUCCAUCCAUAGAUUCACUCUGCAAAGGUUCACAACAGUCAGAACUAGGCCAGACUGAAGCUGGGAGCCAGGAACUUCAUGGAGGUCUCCCGUGUGGGUGGCAGAAACCCAAGUACUUGGGCCACUCCCCAAGUAUAGCAACAGGAAGCUAAAUCAGAAGCACAGAGUAACCGGGACUCAAACUGGCCCUCAUAGGGGAUGCAGGUAUCGUAGGUGCAGCUUAACCUGCCACACCACCAUGCCAGCCCCUCCGUUGCAUUUUUUUUUCUAAUCUAUGUUCUCUGAUGAUUUUCAUCUGAACAUUUGCAGCCUCUCAUAGAGCUAGGCUGCAGCCCCACAACUGGCCCACAGGUGGCAGUAGCUCACAUGCUUAGACAGAUGAGCCAAGAUUUGAGGUUUCAGGUUAUGUGGAAUGAAUUAGCUGGAAAACUGAAAAAUUACUGAAUGAUCUUCCAGGAAAAGGGAGUCACUGAGCGCGACUGGCUCCUGCCAAGGCUCUAGUUCACAGCGCACUUUCCCCCUUGAUUUACGUUGUGGGUUUCACCGAGAUCCCAGCCCCACAGCACCGGUCAGCCUCUUUCGGUCCUUCCUGCCGGGUUGCAGUCAGCGAGUCUUUCCAGUUGCUCUUGGGUCACAUGUCAGGGAGACCUCCAAGGGCAGCAAGACCCCACGACGCAAUGAGUUUGUUAUUAAGUCACAGGCGUGGCCCUCUGUUGAAGGAAGUUGGCCUCCUGCCUCCGGAAUGCAGUGUGAUUCCUUCUCAGCCCAAAGACAAGGCUUAAGCUGCACACUGCUCAGAGUGCCGUCCAGGUAGAAAAACCCACUUCUGACUCUUUAUAAAGCCCCCUUCCUAGUUAGAAUUUUUACCAGCAUUUGCAAAGCAGCUUUGCAGCAAAUCAGAGGAGACUGGUGUUCGACAGUACUGGGAAAACCAAGCUGGCCAGCGUCGUGUUUUCAUUCAGAACCGUGAUCAGAUGAUGGAAGCUUUCACCAGACUCUUGUCUGCCUCAGCUUCAGCCAGGCAGAGAAGCGAGGCUGUGGUGAGAGGGGAGAGUCAGCUGAUGGUCUUCUGGGUGCACUUUCGACAGGAGUGGCCUCUUAAAGCUGCUGGGCGGGACUUCCGGUAGAAUAUAACUCACCAACCACAACACAGCUUGACGAACAGUCAAAUCUCUGUCCAUGGGGCCAGAGGCACAGGGUGCUAGGCUGCCACCUGCCACGCCAGCAUCUCUUUUGAGCCACAGUUCAAGUCCCAGCCUCUCCACAUCUGAUCCAGCUCCCUGCUAACGCUCCUGGGAAAGCAGCAGAAAGUGGCUCAAGUCCUUGGGCCCCUGCCACCCAUGUGGGAGACCCGGAUGGAGUUCCUGGUCCUGCCCUAGACAUUUGAGACCAUUGGGGGAGUGAACCAAAGGGCAGAAGAUGCCCGCCCUCCUCACCUUGAUGUCACUCUGUCUUUCAAAUAAAUAAAAUAAAUCAAUAAAAUCAAAUAAAAUCUCUGUCCUACAUACAAGGGGUACU
Molecule: non-coding RNA, 11308 nt
Organism: Oryctolagus cuniculus (rabbit)
Lineage: Eukaryota; Metazoa; Chordata; Mammalia; Lagomorpha; Leporidae
Source: RefSeq, a predicted model, not a curated record